RNAcentral lists this transfer RNA (71 nucleotides) under Candidatus Wildermuthbacteria bacterium GWA2_46_15. RNAcentral describes it as "tRNA-Ala". It matches the Rfam family "tRNA". From Rfam's summary of the family: Transfer RNA (tRNA) molecules are approximately 80 nucleotides in length. Their secondary structure includes four short double-helical elements and three loops (D, anti-codon, and T loops). Further hydrogen bonds mediate the characteristic L-shaped molecular structure. tRNAs have two regions of fundamental functional importance: the anti-codon, which is responsible for specific mRNA codon recognition, and the 3' end, to which the tRNAs corresponding amino acid is attached (by aminoacyl-tRNA synthetases). tRNAs cope with the degeneracy of the genetic code in two manners: having more than one tRNA (with a specific anti-codon) for a particular amino acid; and 'wobble' base-pairing, i.e. permitting non-standard base-pairing at the 3rd anti-codon position. The record is from RNAcentral. Lineage: Bacteria; Candidatus Wildermuthiibacteriota.
GGGCCCGUGGUAUAAUGGCAACACGUAUCCAUGGCAUGGAUAAGUUCGGGGUUCGACUCCCCGCGGGUCCA